GAGGGAAAUACUGUGGGAGUAAGCAAGAGGCAGAAAGAACAGGCAGAAGUGAGUUAGUGGAAGAAUGACGCCAUGCUGAUUAGACUAAGGCAGCAGAGUCCCAGUGGGAUCUCCCCAUCUCUGACAGAUGUACGGCAUCUCAGUGGGAUCAAACAAAAGCAGCAGGCAGACUUUCAGCUCAGAGCAGCUGGGAGAUCAUGAAAAUAACAUCCAAGCCACUGCUGUGUGACUGCUUCACACGGGUGUCACCUCUUCAUAUGUUUGAGGUUCUCGGGUCCCUCACCCCUGACUCCUGACAGAGGAUGGAUUCUUCAGAGCUGUAUCUUGUCUUGUGUCCCAGGCAGAGAGGAAUUAUCUGUUUCUGUAGAUCACAGGCUGACUGAGGCCUGUCGCCUCAAAGAUAACACUCAGGUAAAUGUUGGUACUGUUGCUCUUUCAAUGCCAAUCAUUAUCUCUGCAUACACAGAAGCACA
RNAcentral lists this long non-coding RNA (473 nucleotides) under Oryzias sinensis (Chinese medaka). Its description in RNAcentral is "lncRNA (ENSOSIG00000017141.1)". The record is from RNAcentral. Lineage: Eukaryota; Metazoa; Chordata; Actinopteri; Beloniformes; Adrianichthyidae.